AUCCAACUGAUGAGUCCCGAAUAAGACGGAACGUGCGUCCUGAAU
This 45-nucleotide non-coding RNA is filed under the name Schistosoma mansoni. Lineage: Eukaryota; Metazoa; Platyhelminthes; Trematoda; Strigeidida; Schistosomatidae. The record is from RNAcentral.